GUGUGCCUACCAGCCGCCUCUGUCGCGUGCCAUCCUUCACCCUUGUCUAUGAAUACCUUUUGUUAUCCCUCGGCAAGAUUCGCUUUGCAAUCUCGCCGAACGGGACCUUCAAAACUCUUGUAAUAAGCAUUAUAUUUUCUGAUACCUUAUAAAAUAAGUAACAACUUUCAACAAUGGAUCUCUUGGUUCUGGCAUCGAUGAAGAACGCAGCGAAAUGCGAUAAGUAGUGUGAAUUGCAGACUUUAGUGAAUCAUCGAAUCUUUGAACGCACAUUGCGCCCCUUGGUAUUCCAUUGGGCAUGCCUGUUCGAGCGUCAUUUACACCCUCAAGCUCUGCUUGGUGUUGGGCGUCUGUUUGUACGUUAUGUGCGGACUCGCCCCAAAAUCAUUGGCAGCGGCUCCUGUCAGCUUCUUGCGCAGCACUUGCGCUUCUAGAAGUGUUGGCUAGGGCUAGCAUCCAUCAAGAACCCCCCAGUUUGACCUCGAAUCAGGUAGGGAUACCCGCUGAACUUAAGCAUAUCAAUAA
RNAcentral lists this unclassified non-coding RNA (525 nucleotides) under Dendryphiella paravinosa. RNAcentral describes it as "sequence contains 18S rRNA gene, ITS1, 5.8S rRNA gene, ITS2". The stretch from base 163 to 316 matches the Rfam family "5.8S ribosomal RNA". Lineage: Eukaryota; Fungi; Ascomycota; Dothideomycetes; Pleosporales; Dictyosporiaceae. The record is from RNAcentral.